This 484-nucleotide ribosomal RNA is filed under the name uncultured bacterium. RNAcentral describes it as "partial 16S ribosomal RNA". It matches the Rfam family "Bacterial small subunit ribosomal RNA", at positions 30 to 507 of the family's 1533-position model. The record is from RNAcentral.
AUUGAACGCUGGCGGCAGGCCUAACACAUGCCAGUCGAGCGGAUGAAGGGAGCUUGCUCCUGGAUUCAGCGGCGGACGGGUGAGUAAUGCCUAGGAAUCUGCCUGGUAGUGGGGGAUAACGUCCGGAAACGGGCGCUAAUACCGCAUACGUCCUGAGGGAGAAAGUGGGGGUCCUCGGGACUCAAGCCAAUCGGAGGGCCUUAGGUCGGAUUAGCUAGUUGGUGGGGUAAAGGCCUACCAAGGCGACGAUCCGUAACUGGUCUGAGAGGAUGAUCAGUCACACUGGAACUGAGACACGGUCCAGACUCCUACGGGAGGCAGCAGUGGGGAAUAUUGGACAAUGGGCGAAAGCCUGAUCCAGCCAUGCCGCGUGUGUGAAGAAGGUCUUCGGAUUGUAAAGCACUUUAAGUUGGGAGGAAGGGCAGUAAGUUAAUACCUUGCUGUUUUGACGUUACCAACAGAAUAAGCACCGGCUAACUUCGUG